CCUUCCGGAGGCUGGGGGACGCGGUCCUGCUCUCACCAGCUCGGCUGCGUGGGGUGGGGCCUUCCUCAUCUACCAGCGACGAGGAGGCCCGGCUUGGGCUGGUACCUGCGGGCGAGGGGAGGGCAAAGGAUCAAACGGGGUAGGGGGCCCUAUCCCCAGCUCUGCCGGCGAGGGGGUGGGAGGGGGACGGGUCACGUGGCGCCCCGCCCACUGCGCUGCUGUUGCCCUAACAUGGAAGUAUCCACCUGGCCAGGUGUGCGCCGCCGCUGGAGGCGGGGCCCGGGAGGACGCGGAAGGAGGAGGAGGAGGAGGGAGGAGAGACGAGGCAGGAGGGAGGGCGAGGUAGAGCGAGGUUGACUGGGGACUGGGGAGAACGACGGUGGGCGGCUUUCCCCGAGCAGCAGUCCAGAGGGAGGACCCGGGGGAGCCGAGGAGCGGGCUGCAGCGCCGAAAACGCGUCCCGCAUUUUUUUACCUACUUUGGUGCGAUUCCCGCCGUCCUCCCCUGAUUGGCCCAGCCCGGCACCGUCGGGCCCUCGCGUGAGGGAAAAAUCUGCACAUUCUUCCCUCUUCCCGAGGCGACUGUGGCCAUUCAGAGUGCUCUGUGAGUCACCGCUAAUUUCAGGUCUGGAAAAAAACAAGGAGUGAUUUGUUUAUCUUUGGGAACUGCCCCGGGAAGGAGGCCCGGCGGUCCGCAGGGGUGUGGCUGGGAAACGGCAGAGUUUACUGGGACUAUGGCGCCAGCCCCGCCGCUCUGUUUUGGGGGCUUUUAAUUUGGGGUUGGGUUUUUUUUUUUAAUGGGUGGUUACAUCACAAACACAGUUUUGAGAGAGCCUGAAGGAAUCCCAGUGUUUUUCCUGAGGGUGUUUUUGUGGAGAGUAAAGGGAGCAGAAAGAAUUUACAACUGGGAUGAUUACUUUAAGUUUUACUUAAUUUAGCCUACGGAGAACAUCACGGCCUCUACCAAAAUUAUUUUAAUUCUCCAAAUGUGAGGCUUUGGGACAAGACUUUUUUGUUGUUGUUUUUUGUUUUUUCUGGUCACUGUAUGAAAUCUAGACUGUUGUGUGACUUUUGUUCUGCCCACUCAACGUAGAAACUUAUUUCUCAUUACCUCGUCCUGUUUUUUGUUGUUGUUGUUCUUUUCCAGAAAAGUUGGGACAAUUCUAAGCCUUUACCACCUGAUAUAAGACUUUUGCAGGCCAGAGCAGUGGCCUCAACUUGAAACAGAACUUGUUAAGGUCAGAUUUGUGUUUCCCGUCCCCAGAGUUUCUGAGACUGUAUCCGAGUGAAGACGCAAUAAUUUGCAUUUCUCACAAUUUCCAGGUGAUGCUAAUGCGGCUGGUUGGGCACCACGCUUUGAGAAGAAGAACCCACCUAUAUCACACUGCAGCUGGAACCCUUUGUUUCUCUGCCUGGGACUCAGCGGCCCCUCCACCUGUAAAGUCUUCAAAGAGGAACUCCUGCUGGAUGGCUGAGUCAGCUAAGCUCUGGGUUUCAGGGCAGAUCAUGAUCUCACAGUUUGUGAGUCCGAACUCUUGCAGAGUCUGCUUGGGAUUCUCUCUCUCUCUCUCUCUCUCUCUCUCUGCCCCUCCCCUGCUUGUGUUCUCUCUCUCUCAAAAUAAAUAAAUGAACUCUAAAAAAAAAAAAAACAAAACAAAACAAAAAAAAACUUCAAAGACUUCCAGUCUAGUCCCAAAUAGAAUCCUGCUCAUUUAAAGAUACAAGCCCGCCUCCUCUAGCUUCUCUUCUGCAUUUCAUCCUCCCCCCUGCCACAGGUGUUCUAUCCAAACAUAAGAAUCUGAUCUUGUCGCUUUCCUGCUUAAAAUUUUCCAAGACUUCCUCAGCAGGUCAUUCUGGCCCUUCCUUCUGCCUCUGGCCUCUCAGCCUACCUUUUCUGCCCUGCCUCCCAUAUCUUCCAUAGUGCCCAAUUUCCUUCCAGACUGAACUUCUCAUUCUAGAACCUUCCUUAACUCUAACUGCCAUAAUUAUUGACCUGUUAGUUUCUCAGACUGGAAUGUUUCUAUUACCCUUCCAUCCUGAAAACCUCUGACCACUUCCCCAGGGAUCAUUAGUGGUUUCUUCUUUAAU
This 2087-nucleotide long non-coding RNA is filed under the name Lynx pardinus (Iberian lynx). Lineage: Eukaryota; Metazoa; Chordata; Mammalia; Carnivora; Felidae. The record is from RNAcentral.